RNAcentral lists this ribosomal RNA (903 nucleotides) under Triticum aestivum (bread wheat). RNAcentral's name for it is "partial small subunit ribosomal RNA". Lineage: Eukaryota; Viridiplantae; Streptophyta; Magnoliopsida; Poales; Poaceae. The record is from RNAcentral.
AUGGAGAUGGAGAUGGAGAUGGAAUGUGCUACUCCUAGCUCCAAGAGGGAGAGAGUGGCGCCAUCGGCGCCGCCGCCUUCUGGUGGUGUGUUUGUCGCCAUAGGGGAGGGAAGCGGCAAGUGUGCUCUUCCUCGAUCCAAGGAUGAAGAAGAGGGGUCUCGUGUGGACCUCAUCACCGACCUCCCGAACGCCGUCCUAGGUGAGAUCAUCUCUCGUCUCCCCAUGAAGGAGGGCAUCCGUACUCGAAUCCUCGCUCGUAGGUGGCGUCCUUUAUGGCUCACCGCUCCUUUGAAUCUCAACUGUCGCGAGAUCUCUCUUGACCGUCUUUUUAAUGAUGGAGAAACAAUUCAUAUUGCCAUCCUCUUGAAGCUUUACACCGUCACCGAGGCCGUCUUUAGAUUUUAUACCGGAACUCGGUCCUCUCAAUAUUCUGUCGUUAAUGUUGUCAGUCUUCCGGAAUUCAUCCUGUCCAGUCAUUCCGGAUCAGUAAGCCGCCUCUCUAUCCCGGCGUGCUACCUGCGGUGCAGACCUGCCACCGUUGCGGCCUGGCUCCGAUCGUCAAAGGUCAACAAUCUCCAGAGUCUUGAGUUCUACUAUCUGUUCCCAGGAUUCGCGGCACAAGAGGUCACACCACUGGGUGAAUUCAUCGUUCCCUCAGUGCCGGAGUCUGUGUUUAGGUUUUCCUCCUCUUUGCACACACACGGCUUUGCUCUUUGCCAUAUACCAGGCAAUUAUGCAGGGAUGCUUAAGUUACCGCUGUGGGGGAGUUCAUGCAUCACAAUAAACACGUAUAACCUUGGUGAGGAUUUGGAGCAUUUUGGGGCAGUCAGUCAAUACAGAGGUGUUCGUGCCUCUUUUGCAUGUAUGGAUGUGGAAUCACGGCCGUGCCUAUAUGGCAUGUAG